AUGGACAAUGGUUGGAGCUUCUGUGUGAUACAGAACAGAAAUACACUGAAGGAAUCCCAGAAGAAGAGCUUUGGGUCUGACACAGUUGUAAUAGUGUUGGUGAAUGAACUGGAGUGCCUGCAGAGGGGAGAUGCUCACACACGCGGCCUGCUGCCUGCCCCCCUGCCGCUCCCAAGGAGAGCAGCGCCACCAUUAUAUUAAUUAACCACUGUUUUGCUGUUCAUGUGCUUUCUACUGCGUUGAAAGAUAAACGAUACCUAUCAUCAUAAGAUAAACUCACAUUUCUCAAAAGCAGUUACCAAUUCUGCUGAAGGGAAGUACACUGGGAAGAGAUGUAAGUAAUUAUGGAGACAAGUAAGAAAUGUUCAAAGAAGUAAUAUCUUUAAGUUAAAAAGGCUGUUGUUCUGUAUCCAAAUAGCUGAUAUAUAGCUCUUUCCUUAGGGUAAAUUGCUCUAUUUUGAAUCACUCUUACUGUUAUUUGUCUUACAGAUUCAUAAUUCAGGAAAUAGGGUUUAUUCUUUUCCAGUGACUGUCUUUCAGAUCAGCUUUAGUGACCCUGAACUUAAAGGAGUCAAAGACUGUUUACAUUUGCAUUCAGUUAUGAGUCACUGAAUUAUCCGAUAUGGAAAGAUCUUCAAAACUCAACUCAGCUCAGCUCUGAGGUUUCAGCUGCACGCAAAACAUAGUAUUCAGGCUUAGUCUACCCAGAAGCCAGGAUGCAGAUUUAUUCAUCCAUUGUUUUUGGAAUCAAAUAUAUCUAAAUGUCAAAGCGUCUUAGAUGUGUGAGAAUACUUGUCAUUAUUCCUAUACAGGGUCACCUGUAUCUAAAAUGUUAGGAUCUUUUUAAAGUAAAAUAGUUGUUUUGUUUUAGUUGUCUUUUCUUUUAUUUUUCUUUCAGGAGUUCAAGUACUUUCCAGUACCAGUGGAGAUGUGAUGGUAUGGAGAUGAAGCUGAAAUGCUUCUUGUGAUGAAGCACUGAACUUUGAACAGGAAUCAGCUCUUCACAUCUAUUUUUUCCUGGCUCAUAUGUGAAAAAGUUUGUAGUGUAGCACUGCAGUGGUAAACUGCCUUAUGCUGAUUAGGCAUCUUUCACACCUUCUGUCCUUCACUGCAGUCCCACAUGUCCUUGUAAUAGUUCGAUCUUAUUACCUAAAUCCAGAAUAACUCUUGACAAUUAGUACUACUUACACACAAUCAAGACUGCUUGUCAAGAAUUAGUACACAGCAAAAGGUUGCUCUUGCUGCUUUCAAAAUAUUUAUUAAUUAUGGUCAUAAGCAAAGGGGAGAUGACCAGUGGGUAGAUAUUUUUAGUGCUUCUGUCCCCUAAGUAUUAAUUAAACCAGAUUAGAAACUCAUAUUACUCAGGCAAGUCUGAACUAAUCAAAUCUGGACAAGCUUUCAGAAAACUUGUUUAAAAUAAAUACAUUUUAAUAGGAAAAUGUUAAAUUUGC
This 1451-nucleotide long non-coding RNA is filed under the name Phasianus colchicus (ring-necked pheasant). RNAcentral's name for it is "lncRNA (ENSPCLG00000019272.1)". Lineage: Eukaryota; Metazoa; Chordata; Aves; Galliformes; Phasianidae. The record is from RNAcentral.